ACGACCUUACUUGAACAGGAUCAGUUCUAUAGGCUCGUACCUCUGUAUCCUAGAUUUCUAAGGAGACAGGCCCUCAAAACCUGGUUGAUGAAUCAUAGCCGUGCGACUUGAGUGUGAUUGACGGCUACGAUUCUCCUCGGAGUCUCCGCGCUGUAGAGGAUCGCUACCUGGUCUGGUCUUGACCUAGCCAGGGUGGUCGCACGGUUGUCUGACAGGUU
Molecule: small nucleolar RNA, 218 nt
Organism: Eutrema salsugineum
Lineage: Eukaryota; Viridiplantae; Streptophyta; Magnoliopsida; Brassicales; Brassicaceae
Rfam family: Plant small nucleolar RNA U3
About the family: Small nucleolar RNAs (snoRNAs) are involved in the processing and modification of rRNA in the nucleolus. There are two main classes of snoRNAs: the box C/D class, and the box H/ACA class.
Source: Rfam